This 215-nucleotide unclassified non-coding RNA is filed under the name Hevea brasiliensis (rubber tree). The record is from RNAcentral. Lineage: Eukaryota; Viridiplantae; Streptophyta; Magnoliopsida; Malpighiales; Euphorbiaceae.
GGAGAAUUGCUUGAUUUGGAAGCUUCAAUUUCGAAGAAUUGAAUGGGGGAAGCCGCUGAAUAUUUCUCCAAAGACUUCGAAUGGGAGGAUCUUCGCGUUCGGGUCGAGAACGACCCGCUUUUGCAGUACCAUUUGCUUCCAUUUGAGCCCUGCAAUUCCAUUCCUUCAGUUUCUCCAGAAGCCGAUUCGGACGCAUGGAGCCGCUUUCACCUUCG